GCACGCUGUAUUAACCUGUAUUAUAUUUUAUUCUAGUGGAUGUGUCUUCAAACAACUCUUCCAACCUGUAAUAUGUAUAACGUGCUAUAACAGAGUGAAACUUCCACACGGAAUGAAACUGAAGUCGAACGGAUUUAAGUCACGUGACCUUAUUGUAGGAAUGGGAGGUUCCCGUGUUUCUUAUGAAUACUCUGUUAUUGGUUGUCACUAAACGCUAUUGGUCCAAUGUGAAAAGAGGCAUACAACGAUUGCUCUUUUUGUGCUCGUAAGCCUGACGUUGGUGAAAGGCGACGCUAUAGAUAAAGCUUGGAAAAAGUUGUGUAAGAUUAAUAAAGAGAUGCCUGGAAAAAUGAAUGGGAUAAAAGAGUGCAACAGAAAAUUUGUGAGUGGAAAGUCAGAAUUGGU
This is a long non-coding RNA of Limulus polyphemus (Atlantic horseshoe crab), 405 nucleotides long. RefSeq lists it as uncharacterized. Lineage: Eukaryota; Metazoa; Arthropoda; Merostomata; Xiphosura; Limulidae. The transcript has 3 exons. The record is from RefSeq and is a predicted model, not a curated record.